This 303-nucleotide ribosomal RNA is filed under the name Limnonectes microtympanum (Sulawesi wart frog). RNAcentral describes it as "partial 12S ribosomal RNA". It matches the Rfam family "Bacterial small subunit ribosomal RNA", at positions 864 to 1340 of the family's 1533-position model. The record is from RNAcentral. Lineage: Eukaryota; Metazoa; Chordata; Amphibia; Anura; Dicroglossidae.
CCCCAACGCCAGGGAAUUACGAGCCCAGCUUAAAACCCAAAGGACUUGACGUGUCCCACCCAACUAGAGGAGCCUGUUCUAUAAUCGAUAAUCCCCGAUUUACCUAACCCCAUUUUGCCACUCAGUCUGUAUACCUCCGUCGCAAGCUUACCAUAUGAAUGACUACAGUAAGUCUAAUGAUCUUAACACCAACACGUCAGGUCAAGGUGCAGCUUAUAAUAGGGAAAGAAAUGGGCUACAAUUUCUAAAAUAGAACAUACGAAAUGCUACAUGAAACACAGCAUGAAGGCGGAUUUAGUAGUA